AACUUGAGAGUUUGAUCCUGGCUCAGAACGAACGCUGGCGGCAGGCUUAACACAUGCAAGUCGAACGCGUGUAGCAAUACACGAGUGGCGCACGGGUGAGUAACGCGUGGAUAUCUGCCUUUUGGUUCGGAAUAACCCCGGGAAACUGGGGCUAAUACCGGAUGGUUCCUUCGGGAUAAAGAUUUAUCGCCAAAAGAUGAGUCCGCGUACGAUUAGCUAGUUGGUGAGGUAAUGGCUCACCAAGGCGACGAUCGUUAGCUGGUCUGAGAGGACGAUCAGCCACACUGGGACUGAGACACGGCCCAGACUCCUACGGGAGGCAGCAGUGGGGAAUAUUGGACAAUGGGGGCAACCCUGAUCCAGCCAUGCCGCGUGAGUGAUGAAGGCCUUCGGGUUGUAAAGCUCUUUUGGCGGGGACGAUGAUGACGGUACCCGCAGAAUAAGCCCCGGCUAACUUCGUGCCAGCAGCCGCGGUAAGACGAAGGGGGCUAGCGUUGUUCGGAAUUACUGGGCGUAAAGCG
Molecule: ribosomal RNA, 521 nt
Filed under: Reyranella sp.
Lineage: Bacteria; Pseudomonadati; Pseudomonadota; Alphaproteobacteria; Hyphomicrobiales; Reyranellaceae
Description: bacterial SSU rRNA
Rfam family: Bacterial small subunit ribosomal RNA
Source: RNAcentral